Molecule: ribosomal RNA, 84 nt
Filed under: Anaerobranca californiensis DSM 14826
Lineage: Bacteria; Bacillati; Bacillota; Clostridia; Eubacteriales; Proteinivoracaceae
Description: 23S rRNA. Bacterial LSU
Rfam family: Bacterial large subunit ribosomal RNA
Source: RNAcentral
GAAGAAUACCUGGUAGAUAGGCUAGGAGUGUAAGGGCAGUAAUGUCUUAAGCGGACUAGUACUAAUCGGUCGAGGGCUUGACCU